This 2031-nucleotide long non-coding RNA is filed under the name Elaeis guineensis (African oil palm). RNAcentral's name for it is "long non-coding RNA (EGUI_LNC035028)". Lineage: Eukaryota; Viridiplantae; Streptophyta; Magnoliopsida; Arecales; Arecaceae. The record is from RNAcentral.
CAUACUGUCAUCCUUUCAUAUUUUAUAUGUGAUCCUUUCCUCCUCAGAUGCAUCUUCUCCAAUCGUAUCGAGUGUAGGUGAAUCCAAUAUAUAGGAGACUUUCUCUUGUGUGAGAAUUAUUUUUAAAUUUCUCAACCAAUCCAUAUAAUUUAGUCCGAUCAAUUUAUUUGCAUCUAGUAUGCCUCGAAGUGACAGUGAGGAUGCCAUUUAUGUAGUUAAUCUACAAUAAUAAGAAUACAGUAUAAGCGGACAACUCAUGAUGACAUACACAACUAGAUUAGAACUUUUGUCUAAUUGUAUUUUUUCACUAUUUUGAUGAAUUUCAUAGUCCUCAAGUAUGAAAAAUAAGAAACAUCAUUAUGUUUCUAAGUGGGGUUGAGACCCUUAUUCCUCACAAACACUUAUGGAUAGCACAACAAGCAUUCAUGAGUUUAAGAGUAGAUAACUCUUUACCAAUUGUACUUCAUACAAUUCUCAAUAUUUUUUUCUUACCUCUAAAUUAGUCAUAGUCUUAUGGAUAGCACAACAAACUAUAGUAUUUUAGUUAAGUUAACCCUUCAUUUUCACAUGGUCAUACUUAAACAAUGUUGUCCUUAUGGAUAGCACAACAAGGCAAUACUAUUCAAAUAUGCUAUAAGCAUCAGUAUGCACUUAGUCAACGUCAUAUCAAUUUCUAUAGUAAGCCUUAUGGAUAGCACAACAAGCUCACUAAGGUCUUCACAUACUCUAUUGACUAAGCAUGAAGGAAAGUCUUUUGCAGUGACUACAUUACUAAUCAAUCUAAGUUCAAAACUCAAUAAGAUCAAAUUAGUCAGGUCAGUAGGUGGGAGGCUUUUGGUAGCUUUUCUUAGACACCAACAAAAUUGGCCAGGCCAACAUAUGGACCUAAUUAGAAAACUAUCUUUAACACUUACCUAAACACUAAUUGAUCAAAUAAAUUCGAUAUUUGAUUUGUAAGUGAAUCCCAACACUACAACUUAAUAUGAUUUUUAUAGAGGGUCUUGAACUGGUCUCGGCAUAUCCUAACUACUACAUAAAAUGUAACAUACAAAUUAUGCUAUUCAACAUGCUUUUCAAGUCAUAAUAUCAUUUAUAUUAUCAUGCCAAAAAUGAUUACAAUAAUCAUAUAAGGGUGUGCAAAUGACUUGACAUAUAACAAGUUCAGUCAAUAUAAAAUAAAUCCUAAUCAAAUUAGGCAUGCAAGACAAUACACCGUUAAUCAAAUCGAUUUAAGCACCAAACAUCCAUGAACCAUUAAAUUUCAUAUUAUCACAAAUUUAAAAUUUAAUAACUAAAAUUUAAAUUCAUUGUUCAAAUAAAGUCAAAAAUAAUUUGUAAUUUUAAGACUGAUGCUAGAAAUUGAUGCAACAUUUUGGCAAAAUAUGAAUUAGAUCAAAUCUAUAUUACAACUUUAGCACUUGUUUGAUCAAAUCUAAUAAGGAUGGCUCUGACACCACUGUUGGGUUUUAGUCAUGCAGUAAAAUAUAAAUUUUAAAAAUUUUUAAUAUAUAAAUUGAAAGCUUUAAUAAUUAAAACUGUCGAACCAAAAUUCAAACCCUAGAAUUACCUUGUAGAUAUCGAACAAAACAAAAUCCAAGCAUGCAAAGAAAUAGAAACUUAUACUUCCUCAAAUGAGUAGUAUGGUAAGAAGGUGAUCUUUAUGAGACUUCAAAGUAGAAGUCUUCCAAUGGUGAUCCACAUGAAAGAUGGUCAAGGUCUUUCCCAACCAGUGUACUGCUGCAAUCUUUUCUUCACAAGAACACUGUCAGCUUCAUACUCGAAGAACGAUCGCACCAAUGCUCUAUUGCCUUUGAUUUCUUCACUAAGAUCAUGCCAAGAGAAUUCUCUCUAGAAGCCUCACAACUAAGGAUCUGAUUUUGUACUCCAACACAUGGAAAAAUCAUGCUUUAGGACAAGCACAUCUUACUUGCUAUUUUUCUCACCUCCCUUUUUUUCUAUUUUUUUCACUCUAUUUUUUCUUGUCUUUUCCUCUGAUUUUUUUUAGAUUUUUUUUUCUCUUAUCACACACCU